UUUACUAGAUUUGUUCUAGAAGCAAAGCCUUAUGGGGGUUAACUGAGGUGUUUUCAAAAAAUGACGGCUGCAUUUAUCUAAUGGCAGAAGCUGAGGUCGUGUUUUUCCUUGUUUGUUUUGAGUUGCAGACUCUUUUAUAGCAUGCGGUGUCUAUAGCUUAUCCUUGUGUCUUACUCGCUCUUUAUACUUGUGUUUUCUUUCGACUCUUGACACAGCUGCUGGGAAAUAAGGCAAAUAACAAUGAGAGUCUCGCAGCAAAGUAACCAAGGACGAGCUUCAAAACAGAAUGUAAGCGACAAGGAACAAAACAAUCAUCCACAUACACAAUCUAAUGCUGAUCAGAAUCUGAGGAAUAAAAGAUUGUUGGAAGAGGGUCCCCGAAAAAACUGGAGAGUCAAGUCUAUGUGAGAGAGGCAGAAGUGAAGACCCCACGGUGGCAGCGGCUGUCGUCACUGACGCGUUACCCGCUUCUGUGUACAGAUUCAUUUGUACGAUCCUAAUGAAUUUGCCCCAGGGAGCUGGAACCUAAACAUGCAAUUUGUUUUUGAACGACUUUUGUAGGGGAGAAGUGAAACCCUGUGCAGACUCCCACCACCCACAGGAAAAUUGGGAUGAGGCUUGCCUGGGCUUACCCCUUAGAAGUGUACAUAAAGCUCUUGGGCCCCAUAAAAAAUCUUAAUAAAG
Molecule: long non-coding RNA, 684 nt
Organism: Hyla sarda
Lineage: Eukaryota; Metazoa; Chordata; Amphibia; Anura; Hylidae
Exons: 3
Source: RefSeq, a predicted model, not a curated record